CAUUGUGCUUGCACAGAUGACGACCGGCGCACGGGUGCGUAACGCGUAUAGAACCUACCUUUUACAGAGGAAUAGCCUUUAGAAAUGAAGAUUAAUGCCUCAUGGUAUUGUAGACUGGCAUCAGUUUAUAAUUAAAGAUUUAUCGGUAAAAGAUGGCUAUGCGUCCUAUUAGUUAGUUGGUAAGGUAACGGCUUACCAAGACAGCGAUAGGUAGGGGUCCUGAGAGGGAGAUCCCCCACACUGGUACUGAGACACGGACCAGACUCCUACGGGAGGCAGCAGUGAGGAAUAUUGGACAAUGGAGGAGACUCUGAUCCAGCCAUGCCGCGUGUAGGAAGAAUGCCCUAUGGGUUGUAAACUACUUUUAUACAGGAAGAAACACUGGUAUGUAUACCAGCUUGACGGUACUGUAAGAAUAAGGACCGGCUAACUCCGUGCCAGCAGCCGCGGUAAUACGGAGGGUCCGAGCGUUAUCCGGAAUCAUUGGGUUUAAAGGGUCCGCAGGCGGUCGAUUAAGUCAG
Molecule: ribosomal RNA, 521 nt
Filed under: uncultured Polaribacter sp.
Lineage: Bacteria; Pseudomonadati; Bacteroidota; Flavobacteriia; Flavobacteriales; Flavobacteriaceae
Description: bacterial SSU rRNA
Rfam family: Bacterial small subunit ribosomal RNA
Source: RNAcentral